CCCAGCUGUAUGCAACUGCUUAGAUUGCCUGGUACCUACAUAAGUGUUAAACUGCUGGGAGAAAAGCAACCAACAGCUGGCAGGCAUGUUGUGCCUGGUUAAUGCCAAAUCUGUGUUAACUCUACCGGUGUACAAA
Molecule: small nucleolar RNA, 136 nt
Filed under: Ochotona princeps (American pika)
Lineage: Eukaryota; Metazoa; Chordata; Mammalia; Lagomorpha; Ochotonidae
Description: Small nucleolar RNA SNORA74 (ENSOPRG00000022845.1)
Source: RNAcentral